RNAcentral lists this transfer RNA (65 nucleotides) under Idioscopus sp. 'myrica'. RNAcentral's name for it is "tRNA-Leu". The record is from RNAcentral. Lineage: Eukaryota; Metazoa; Arthropoda; Insecta; Hemiptera; Cicadellidae.
UCUAAUAUGGCAGACUAGUGCAAUGAAUUUAAGAUUCAUAUAUAAAUAUAUAUAUUUUUUUAGAA